This is a non-coding RNA of Oncorhynchus mykiss (rainbow trout), 981 nucleotides long. NCBI's taxonomy places the organism in Eukaryota, Metazoa, Chordata, Actinopteri, Salmoniformes, Salmonidae. The record is from RefSeq and is a predicted model, not a curated record.
UCUCUCUAGGUAUGUUAUCCCAGAGGUAAUGACACUGUGGUGUUUCACCCAGUCCUCUCUCUCUCUCUAGGUAUGUUAUCCCAGAGGUAAUGACACUGUGGUGUUUCACCCAGUCCUCUCUCUAGGUAUGUUAUCCCAGAGGUAAUGACACUGUGGUGUUUCACCCAGUCCUCUCUCUAGGUAUGUUAUCCCAGAGGUAAUGACACUGUGGUGUUUCACCCAGUCCUCUCUCUCUCUAGGUAUGUUAUCCCAGAGGUAAUGACACUGUUGUGUUUCACCCAGUCCUCUCUCUCUCUAGGUAUGUUAUCCCAGAGGUAAUGACACUGUGGUGUUUCACCCAGUCCUCUCUCUCUCUCUAGGUAUGUUAUCCCAGAGGUAAUGACACUGUGGUGUUUCACACAGUCCUCUCUCUCUCUAGGUAUGUUAUCCCAGAGGUAAUGACACUGUUGUGUUUCACCCAGUCCUCUCUCUAGGUAUGUUAUCCCAGAGGUAAUGACACUGUGGUGUUUCACCCAGUCCUCGCUCUCUCUAGGUAUGUUAUCCCAGAGGUAAUGACACUGUGGUGUUUCACCCAGUCCUCUCUCUCUCUAGGUAUGUUAUCCCAGAGGUAAUGACACUGUGGUGUUUCACCCAGUCCUCUCUCUAGGUAUGUUAUCCCAGAGGUAAUGACACUGUGGUGUUUCACCCAGUCCUCUCUCUCUCUCUAGGUAUGUUAUCCCAGAGGUAAUGACACUGUGGUGUUUCACACAGUCCUCUCUCUCUCUAGGUAUGUUAUCCCAGAGGUAAUGACACUGUGGUGUUUCACCCAGUCCUCUCUCUCUCUAGGUAUGUUAUCCCAGAGGUAAUGACACUGUGGUGUUUCACCCAGUCCUCUCUCUCUCUAGGUAUGUUAUCCCAGAGGUAAUGACACUGGGGUGUUUCACCCAGUCCUCUCUCUCUCUCUAGGUAUGUUAUCCCAGAGGUAAUGACACUGUGGUGUUU